UACGUAGGGUGCAAGCGUUACUCGGAAUUACUGGGCGUAAAGCGUGCGUAGGUGGUUGUUAAGUCUGUUGUGAAAGCCCCGGGCUCAACCUGGGAAUGGCAAUGGAUACUGGCAGGCUAGAGUGCGGUAGAGGGUAGUGGAAUUCCCGGUGUAGCGGUGAAAUGCGUAGAGAUCGGGAGGAACACCAGUGGCGAAGGCGGCUACCUGGACCAGCACUGACACUGAGGCACGAAAGCGUGGGGAGCAAACAGG
Molecule: ribosomal RNA, 252 nt
Filed under: uncultured bacterium
Lineage: Bacteria
Description: partial 16S ribosomal RNA
Rfam family: Bacterial small subunit ribosomal RNA
Source: RNAcentral